GCCAGAAAAGGCAGCACACCCCCCUCUCUGGCAAACAGAGGAGAGGCUCAUGUGCUGCUGCUCCAUCCUGGAUUCAGCUCAACUCCACAAGCGAGAAGACAAGGACUUAUAAGGGGAUGUCGUCCACAAACUGCCCCCAUUUGAGCUUGGAAGUGAAGGUGCACUCGCUCAGCUGCUAUUUCAUUGUUAGGAUUGUCCAACAUCCAGAUGGAAAUUCAUAAGCGGCUUCAGUAAGUUCCGUCCCCUGUAAGCUGAUGUUUCCAGUUAGAUGACUAUUAUUUGUACCGCAUACACGUAUUUUACCGUUUUAAGAAAUUAAACGACUCAUCCGACAGGACACUAGUUUAAAGAACACGUUUCUUUCUCUGGAAACAAAAGUAGUUUUCAACGAAUUGUUUUUCUCUUUUGCCUUUCCCCCCACCGAGCAACGCACAUAUACGGUGCCUUUACAAAGCUGAUGUUUGAUGCUGUCGGGACGGGGAGCAAAAUCCCAUCCAUCCCACUCUGGCCAGUCCAGGAUGCGGAGAGUCCACGCUGUAAAAAAUGGGGACUUCCUGGCAGGGCUGGGAGCUUGUAUCGGAGCUGUCCAAUCAGUGUAUUUACACGGGUUGUUAGCGACAGUUAAUGAGGGCUCCUCCCCGGGCCGGUAGAGAAAGGCGCCUCAACAUUAAGAUUUACCUUGUGUCAACUCGUUACUUCUAAUGAACCUCCCUGCAAAAGCCUCCUCGUACUCAAUGGAGCCGUGCGCCCGGAUCUUGUGUGUGAGACUCUGGAAGAGUGGAGCUGCAAGCUGGCCUCCCUCUCCCCCAUCCCAUUUUCUUCCGUUCACUCAGGAGAGGUGCUUUUUCUCUCCAGGUCCGGGUCUGUGAUGCAUGCCUGCAUGCCAUGUGCGUGCGUGUGUGCACGCGAACAUGUGUGUUGAAUGAGGUGCGUGAUGUCCAUUUUUCUUAAAAUUUCGCUUAAAUUUCGCACAGCACUUUCUAUUAUUGCGCUGCAGAUUAACACAUUGUAAUGCAGACCUUCAGAGUCACUUGCCUUGAAAUUGAAAUUUAAUAGAAAAAGGUGUCUAAUCACCAAAACUACGAUCAUGUUCGAGACUUAGGGAACAGGGGUGUGUCAGGGCCACGCAAACGCAAAUCAAACCACACACUUGAAACAUCUUUCAUUGUUUGAUUAACAAGGCUUGAUAUAUCAGCUUUACAGAAGUUUAUUAAUAAUCAACCUUCAUCCCUUACUAGAGCACUGACCAUAGAUCGGACUCUGGGCCCCUCUGCUCACCCCUUCGUCUGCCCCCCAAUGUGGCUUGUUGAGCCGCAUCAGCAACACAUCACUGCCCCUCAAUUCAGGUACAAACUGGAGGAGUUUGGCAGAUCCCUAAAGUGGACACUCCUCCUACGCUUCUAAACCACAGAGACACCACUUAAAAAUCAAUUAGGCUCAUGUAGGCUUUCUUUCCGCAAGUGAUCGUUCCGAAAACAGGUGGCUCCCAUCGAAUUUCAUGAAGGAUUUUAAACAGAAAAAUACAAAAUCACUUUUCAGUUUCAACUCAAUAAUUUUAGUGGCUCCUACUCACUUCAAUGACAGAAGGCUGUCGUUGCGCCAUACGUCUCAACGUGCAAUUUGAUAAAUCAAACUUUCCCUCUUCACUAUUUCCUUAUCCAAACAGCAAAUAUCAUCCUCUUAUUUACAGGAGCUGAAAAGUAGAAAGCUGUUCCACAGUAUGUUAUCGCUCGAGAAAAGGAUUCAUCAAUAAAUCUACAUCCGCCAGCAGGUGACAAAGUGGCACAGUCCCAGCUGCUGGCACCUUGUUACGCAAAGUUUGGUUUCCUUAUCCUUUAUAGAAAACAAAAUAAGUAAAUAAAUAUAUUUUAAGAAACAAAAUAUAAGAAUAAUUUGGCCUUCUGUAAAAUCUAUUAUUUCACAUAACUCCAAGUUAAAUGCCCAUCUUUUCAUUUUAACGUCACAGUCGUCUGUGACACGGAGCAGCAGCGCCGGGGGAAGCCGCGUGCUCACUCUUCCAGGUAUAUUGACUAAUUUAGAUAAGGAGAUGCAGAAAGAAGCACAUAAAAUUGGUGCAUAUCUGAUGUAUUUCCCCAAGCUAUGACGCUCGUCUUUCAAGCUCUAUUCUUUCUAAAAAAAAUAAAAAAAAUAAAAAUAAACACAUUGAGAGGGAAAAAAACAACUUUUAUAAAACUUUAAUUUCAACUUUCAGCCCCCGAAGAAUGGUUGUGCAUCAGUCAGUUGAAGUUGGAUGUGUAAAAUAUCCACUGAAUUCUGCUGGAUGGAGAACCAGCACAAAGGCCAGAGUCACACCAACACCACCCCCAAAAAACAUGGCUGUUUUGGCUUUGGAGGCUGAUUAAGCGCCCGGGUUCUUACGCGCAGAUGGGGACUGUGGAGAUGGUCAUUUAGCCCGGUGUCACAGGAGCAGACAAGCUGUAAUUACUGUAGCUGGCAUAUUGCUCUCAAAGCUUGUUAAUGUGGGAGAUUCUCGUACCACAGACAGCAUGCAUACAGUCGAGGCUACUCAACUCUCUGGCCACAGAGUCCCUUUUAACCCAAGCUCAGACACUCAUGGGCUGGCCACACGCUCCACAGCUGACCCUUUCCAUUUUAACAUUUCAGUAGUGAAACACCCUCCUAUUUAUGAGCUAGUGAUAUCGUGGAAGGGAUCACGAGGCUGUUUGUGAGUGAAAAACAUCACACACUGCAAUACACACAAAUACUACAGUAAAUCAGUAUUGAAAAGGAACGAAGUAGAUUUAUUUAGGCACUUACUCUCAACCCUGAUUUUGUAGUAUAUGUAUAUUUACUGAUCUAUUUGAGCUAGUCUUUCAAAUUUAUUCUAGUUUCUUUUAUUUACUUGACAACAAUGUGAUUAUCUUUGUGCAAGGGUAUCAUGCUAUUGUACCUUAGCUUCUUUCCGCUUUUGAAUCAUGCAUUUUAACAAUAGAGAUAGUACAUGGGGAUCUGAUAAGUGACUAGUACCCCAUUUACUCAUACAUUUACCAAGUUUUAGGUAGUUGGAGCAUAUUUUGCCCAAGUACUUCUAAUUUAGCUGUUUCGCAGAUUAUCAUUACAACAUUUCAAAGGUAGGCCUAAAUAUAAAUCUUUAUUCAGGGUUCCCUGCCAAACAUUCACAGAAUGCUUAACAUGCUAUCCUUUCUGGUAUUUUAUAACAUAAGAGUGAAAUGGGCCGUGCUGUCAGUCAUUUUACAUUUAAUACUUUGAAUAAUUUAUAAUCUCAAGUUUAAAUAUGCAAAUGCAGUCCACUUAACGGUAUGUAUAGGAAUAAUAAGCAUAAAUAGAUCUCACAUGGCCAUUAUAACAAUUUGGUGCCAGACUUUUUUUGGUGCCAGGGAGGUGAUCCAGCCCCCAGACUUGUGUUAACACUCAGUAGCAGCUUGUCAUACCCAUUUUACUCUUGUCAUGACGAGCAGCACUAAAGCUUCUUGACAGAUAAAUAGUUUCACCAAGUCUUCUUGUGUCUAAUUAAAUAACCUGAUUGAUAAAUAGAUCAAAUGCUUCCUUUCCCCUCCCUGUAAAUGUAUGUCUGCAGUGUUAUGAUCCUGCAGUUUUCUCAUAUUUUGAUUUGAGUUGUGUUUGCAUAACAACCUUGCCUCCUCCUUGUCCCUCUUGUCCUUGACUGCAACUGUUGACAUAACUCCACUCAAUUUCCCGUUUAUCCCCCAAGUCAAGUUGAAGACAGACAUGAAGUGUAAAAAAGGUGGGCCAUGUCAUAUCAGCUCAGUGUGUAUGGGAUUGUUGGCCUGAGCGGCUGUGAUCAUUGUUCAGGAGAACAAUUCAUGCCCGUCACAGACAGGAAGACUGAAAAAGUGGAAGCACUGUUGAAAACUUAGGCUUGUUGGACAAUUUUCUCAUGCUUUUUCUCAAUAGCAGUGACAGAAAGGGUUUAUCAUGAGCAUAUAUGCUGAUGUCUAAAGGCCACAAUCAGCUUAACAAAGUGCUUUCAAUUUUAGACAGCCCUUCAUUAAAAUUCUGCUGCCAACAAUAACAUUUAAGAUGCUGAACUUCGAAGAGAAUUUGUGAAAUGAGCCUGCAGACAUUGUUCUCUUCUUCCUGAAACAUUUAAAAGAUAUUAAUAUUCAUGACACAUAGCUACUUUAAUAAGCUACAAAACAAUUUUAUUUUCACAACCUUGUGGAAGUUCAUUUGGAAGGUUAUGAGAGCCCUAAAAAGUCUGAGACAUUUUAAAACCUGAGGUUAAGAUACUACCUUUCAGUAGACCAGGAUAUGCUAUGCUAGGAUUUUUUUUAGUCAAAGCUUCUAUCAAAAAAGUCCAUUCGUUUAAAACAUUUCUAUAUUUGGAUACCUUAUAAAGGCUAUUUAUUGUAUCCUUUAGGGAUUUAAGUUUAAUGUAACCUCUGGAGAAAUCGUUUCUGAUUUUUCAAGAGUUAAUUUGUGUUUGAAACCCAGUCUGUAUUAAAAUAUAUCACGUCACUAUUUUAAUGAUUGAUCUGCCUGAAUGCUUUUCUAGCUUCUCUAAUUAAUUGGUUACUAAGCAACAGAUGGACGAGUGUGACCAAUUGUAUAUGUUGUCUCAGGUGUGAAUUUGGUGAGUACUUCAGCGGGUUUGACUCGGCAGCCAAUCAGAGGUGAGGACCGGAACUGCCAUAGAACUGGAUAUUAUAGUAUUUGUAGCUUACAGGAACGCUGGGAAGCGUCGGUCGAGAAGCCGGUUAGCUUACUCACGGCUGAACAGCCCCGUCUAGUCUGAUUUAUGUCUGAAUCUCCGUUUGGCUCGCUUGAUCAAUAGCUAAUGUCCAAGAGAACAUGGACAGGUCAGCAGGAGUGUGACCCACGAAGAAGGGCGACAUAAAACCACUUGAUAUGCUUAUUAUUAUUAUUAUCAUUAUCAUUAUUAUUAUUAUUAUUAUUAUUAUUAUUAUUAUUAUUAU
Melanotaenia boesemani (Boeseman's rainbowfish) is the source of this 4919-nucleotide long non-coding RNA. RefSeq lists it as uncharacterized. NCBI's taxonomy places the organism in Eukaryota, Metazoa, Chordata, Actinopteri, Atheriniformes, Melanotaeniidae. The record is from RefSeq and is a predicted model, not a curated record. The transcript is spliced from 3 exons.